GAAGAACGUAGCGAAAUGCGAUACGUAAUGUGAAUUGCAGAAUUCAGUGAAUCAUCGAGUCUUUGAACGCACAUUGCGCCCCCUGGUAUUCCGGGGGGCAUGCCUGUCCGAGCGUCAUUGCUGCCCUCAAGCACGGCUUGUGUGUUGGGCCUCCGUCCUCCUCCCGGGGGACGGGCCCGAAAGGCAGCGGCGGCACCGCGUCCGGUCCUCGAGCGUAUGGGGCUUCGUCACCCGCUCUUGUAGGCCCGGCCGGCGCUUGCCGACACAUCAAUCUUUUUUCCAGGUUGACCUCGGAUCAGGUAGGGAUACCCGCUGAACUUAAGCAUAUCAAUAAGCGGAGGA
Molecule: unclassified non-coding RNA, 342 nt
Filed under: soil metagenome
Description: partial contains 5.8S ribosomal RNA, internal transcribed spacer 2, and large subunit ribosomal RNA
Rfam family: 5.8S ribosomal RNA (bases 1-117)
Source: RNAcentral